AGGACGAACGCUGGCGGCGUGCUUAACACAUGCAAGUCGAGCGAGGCCCUUCCUUCGGAGAGGUGCCCUAGCGGCGAACGGGUGAGUAACACGUGGGCAACCUGCCCCUAGCACUGGGAUAAGCCCGGGAAACCGGGUCUAAUACCGGAUAUGACCUUCAAGGGCAUCCUCGAAGGUGUAAAGGAUUCUGGCUAGGGAUGGGCCCGCGGCCUAUCAGCUUGUUGGUGGGGUAAUGGCCCACCAAGGCAACGACGGGUA
This 258-nucleotide ribosomal RNA is filed under the name uncultured bacterium. Its description in RNAcentral is "partial small subunit ribosomal RNA". It matches the Rfam family "Bacterial small subunit ribosomal RNA", at positions 26 to 285 of the family's 1533-position model. The record is from RNAcentral.